This 213-nucleotide unclassified non-coding RNA is filed under the name soil metagenome. Its description in RNAcentral is "partial contains 5.8S ribosomal RNA, internal transcribed spacer 2, and large subunit ribosomal RNA". The record is from RNAcentral.
AACACUGUUAACCUGCGGUACCUGCGGAGGGAUCAUUACAAGUGACCCCGGUCUAACCACCGGGAUGUUCAUAACCCUUUGUUGUCCGACUCUGUUGCCUCCGGGGCGACCCUGCCUUCGGGCGGGGGCUCCGGGUGGACACUUCAAACUCUUGCGUAACUUUGCAGUCUGAGUAAACUUAAUUAAUAAAUUAAAACUUUCAACAACGGAUCU